CUAUCUACAGGCUUAACACAUGCAAGUCGAGGGGCAGCAUGGUCUUAGCUUGCUAAGGCCGAUGGCGACCGGCGCACGGGUGAGUAACACGUAUCCAACCUGCCGUCUACUCUUGGACAGCCUUCUGAAAGGAAGAUUAAUACAAGAUGGCAUCAUGAGUCCGCAUGUUCACAUGAUUAAAGGUAUUCCGGUAGACGAUGGGGAUGCGUUCCAUUAGAUAGUAGGCGGGGUAACGGCCCACCUAGUCUUCGAUGGAUAGGGGUUCUGAGAGGAAGGUCCCCCACAUUGGAACUGAGACACGGUCCAAACUCCUACGGGAGGCAGCAGUGAGGAAUAUUGGUCAAUGGGCGAGAGCCUGAACCAGCCAAGUAGCGUGAAGGAUGACUGCCCUAUGGGUUGUAAACUUCUUUUAUAAAGGAAUAAAGUCGGGUAUGCAUACCCGUUUGCAUGUACUUUAUGAAUAAGGAUCGGCUAACUCCGUGCCAGCAGCCGCGGUAAUACGGAGGAUCCGAGCGUUAUCCGGAUUUAUUGGGUUUAAAGGGAGCGUAGAUGGAUGUUUAAGUCAGUUGUGAAAGUUUGCGGCUCAACCGUAAAAUUGCAGUUGAUACUGGAUAUCUUGAGUGCAGUUGAGGCAGGCGGAAUUCGUGGUGUAGCGGUGAAAUGCUUAGAUAUCACGAAGAACUCCGAUUGCGAAGGCAGCCUGCUAAGCUGCAACUGACAUUGAGGCUCGAAAGUGUGGGUAUCAAACAGGAUUAGAUACCCUGGUAGUCCACACGGUAAACGAUGAAUACUCGCUGUUUGCGAUAUACGGCAAGCGGCCAAGCGAAAGCGUUAAGUAUUCCACCUGGGGAGUACGCCGGCAACGGUGAAACUCAAAGGAAUUGACGGGGGCCCGCACAAGCGGAGGAACAUGUGGUUUAAUUCGAUGAUACGCGAGGAACCUUACCCGGGCUUAAAUUGCAGAUGAAUUACAGUGAAAGCCGUAAGCCGCAAGGCAUCUGUGAAGGUGCUGCAUGGUUGUCGUCAGCUCGUGCCGUGAGGUGUCGGCUUAAGUGCCAUAACGAGCGCAACCCUUGUUGUCAGUUACUAACAGGUUCCGCUGAGGACUCUGACAAGACUGCCAUCGUAAGAUGUGAGGAAGGUGGGGAUGACGUCAAAUCAGCACGGCCCUUACGUCCGGGGCUACACACGUGUUACAAUGGGGGGUACAGAGGGCCGCUACCACGCGAGUGGAUGCCAAUCCCCAAAACCUCUCUCAGUUCGGACUGGAGUCUGCAACCCGACUCCACGAAGCUGGAUUCGCUAGUAAUCGCGCAUCAGCCACGGCGCGGUGAAUACGUUCCCGGGCCUUGUACACACCGCCCGUCAAGCCAUGGGAGCCGGGGGUACCUGAAGUGCGUAACCGCGAGGAGCGCCCUAGGGUAAAACUGGUGACUGGGGCUA
This 1443-nucleotide ribosomal RNA is filed under the name uncultured organism. RNAcentral describes it as "SSU rRNA". It matches the Rfam family "Bacterial small subunit ribosomal RNA". The record is from RNAcentral.